This 359-nucleotide ribosomal RNA is filed under the name Haliplus lineatocollis. RNAcentral's name for it is "partial 12S ribosomal RNA". The record is from RNAcentral. Lineage: Eukaryota; Metazoa; Arthropoda; Insecta; Coleoptera; Haliplidae.
AUUAUUUUAAAUGUAAAUUUAUAAUACUUAAGUAGUAAUAGUUAUGAUCUUUAAAUUUAAAGAUUUUGGCGGUAUUUUAGUCUAUUCAGAGGAACCUGUUCUGUAAUUGAUAGUCCACGAUUAACUUUAUUUAAUUUUAAAAAUUUGUAUAUCAUUGUUUAUAGAAAAUUUUAUAAGAAUUUAAAUUUUUAAUAUUUUUUAUUAAAAUUAAUUUCAAAUCAAGGUGCAGUUUAUAAUUAAAUAGAAAUGGGUUACAAUAAAUUUAUUUAAAUGGAUAUAAAUAUUAAUAUAUUUAUUGAAAGUGGAUUUGAUAGUAAUUAAAUUAAGUUAAAUUUUUUGAUUUAAGCUCUAAAAUAUGU